RNA transcript from Ananas comosus (pineapple), 1473 nucleotides. It is a transcript of the gene named protein SLOW GREEN 1, chloroplastic-like, with no coding region annotated. The transcript has 5 exons. The record is from RefSeq and is a predicted model, not a curated record. Lineage: Eukaryota; Viridiplantae; Streptophyta; Magnoliopsida; Poales; Bromeliaceae.
UGCGGGGAGCGCCACGUUUUACUCGGCGGUUCCGUUCGUCACUCCCCCGCAACUACAGCGACAGAGGGUUUUACCUCCUCCUUUCGCCUCCUCACCAUCUCCUCCACGAUCCAAAUCGAAAACCCUACGCAACACCUCCCAUGGCGUCCCUUCGUUCUCCUCCCCUCUCAAACCCUAGCUUCUCCCGACCCUUCUUCUCCAAACCCCUCCUCUCCCCCUUCCCCCUUAAACCCUACCCCAAAUCCCCUCCCCUCCCUCGCCCCCUUCGCGCCUCCCAUAAACCCUCUCCCAAAACCCGAUCCCUAACCCCUCCCGCCUCUCUCCUCCAAUCCACCGCCGUCGCCGCCGCCGCCGCCGCCGCCCUCCUCCUCGCCCGCUUCCACACCCCCUCCCCCGCCAUCGCCGCCCCCGCCCCCGCCGCCGCGGUCGAGCCCGACACGCUCCCCUCAUCCAAGGACUCUGAAACCCUAACCGACGCCGAGAAGGAGCGGCUCCUCCAGGAGAACCUCGCCUCCAACCCCGACGAUGUCAAGUCCCUGCGAGCCCUAAUGGAGGUGAAGGUGAAGUCCCAUAAGCUUCCGGAAGCGAUCGGCAUCGUCGACCGCCUCAUCGCGCUGGAGCCCGAUGAGAACGAUCUCCCCCUUCUCAAAGCCCACCUGCAGAGCUACAAUGGCGACUUCGAAGCAGCGAAGCAAGGGUUCGAGGAGCUAUUGGAGAAGGACCCGUUUCUCGUCGAGGCCUAUCAUGGCCUCGUAAUGGCGGCCUCGCAAUCCGAUGCUGAUGGGGACUUAGAUGACAUUCUUAAAAGGGUUGAAGAUGCUAUAGAGUUGUGCAAGAAGGCGAAGAAGAAGGAGCAGUUGAGGGAUUUUAAGCUCCUAGUGGCUCAAAUUAAGGUCAUAGAAGGGGAGUAUGAGGAUUCUCUUAUGAUCUAUAAAGAGUUGGUGAAGGAGGAGCCGAGAGAUUUUCGGCCUUAUUUAUGCCAAGGGAUCAUAUAUACUCUUCUGAGGAAGAAGGAUGAGGCCGAGAAGCAUUUUCAGAAGUAUAGAAGGCUUGUUCCGAAGGGCCAUCCUUAUGCCCAGUACUUUGAUGAUAAUAUGAUGGCAAUGAAGGUUUUUGGGCAGAUGGAGGAGAAUAAGAGAAAGGGCUCUUUGAAGAAUUGAGGAAUCGUCGGUUAAUCUAAUGAUGAUUUGAUAGCUUCGAGAGUGGAGUAAAGAUGCUCGAUAAUUUGGAGCUAUGGGACAUCUUUCAUUGCCUGAAGAAGAAUUGGAUUCAUUCAGGAAUUAGAUCACUUCACUGCCAGGUAUUAAUGUUGCUGUAUAUUCAUGGGCGUGAUUUGGGCCCUGCCUAAUCUCUCGCAUAUUCUGCUCUUUUUGUCGCGGUUUCGCUGCAGUAUGUUGCCGUGCCUAGAAAAUUUCUAUGCAUGCUUUGGAUGAAAUUUUCUAUUCUACAGUAAAUGUGCUUUUUUUGGAAAAA